CGGCGCAGGUUCAGACGACAAAAAGGCGUCGACGGCACGUUUGGAGUUCUUUGGAGUUUGGUGGCCAAUUUAUGUGAAGUAAAAUUUGGUCCAUGCAGAAAGAAAGAUUGUCAGCCUUUCAGAGAGCGGACUCAAGUUGAAUUCAAAAUGGAAGACCCAUUGAAUAACUCUGUAUACAUCAGGAUCGGCUUUUGAAUUCAUUGGCAGCCUUGACGACUUUAUGCAUUUUCCUUGCCAUAAGUUCUGGUGUGUGUGAAUCAGCAUCUUUGGUCGCCUGUGGAGAUUUGAGAGAGAUGGAACUUUUCCUUUUCCUUAUGCUAGAGGCUGAUAAGGCGGUGAUGUGAGGUGUAGUGGCUAGAGCGUCAAUGCUUUGGGAAAAAGGCAAUGAUGCUCUGGUUUCGAUCCCCUGCUGAACCCGUCAUAAAACUGUUGGCCUGCGCCUUGAGGCUGCGGCAUAACACUAAAAAUGUUAUUAGACAGGAUCCUUGAUUGCUUUCAAGGAUAUGACGUUAAAUUCGCGUCAUUAGAACUUUACUUGGAUAGUGCGCGUUACAAAUAAAUCAAAAAUCAAUCAAAAAUCGAUAACCAAGAAAUUUUUGACAUGGUUCUCCGCCUCACUGCUUAUCAUUAUCCUGAAAAUAUCGUCUUGCCACAAGGAUAUACUCCUCCAAAUCUGGCAGUUAGCAAACUUUACUGGAAGGCUUGGUUGAUGCUAUUGAUGCUGAUUGCUCAUAAUCCUGGCAGUCUUGGGUCUGAGGCAUGGAAUUCAUUCCCUCCUAUACUCCGAGCAUUGAUGGAGAUGUGUAUCACAAAUGAUUUCGCUACUUUUUCUGGUACCACAGACCAGACAGAGUUGCAGGUGGCUGCAAUUGAAAAGCAAACCAUCUUGGAAUUCGAAACAGAUCUAGGAGCCGCCUCUACAAAAACUGUUAUUACCGAAAACAAUUCUUUGCUGCUUAGUCAAUUGACAUCACUUGAUCCACGAGGAUCUACGCGACGACCUCCUCCGGCUGUUAUUGAGCAGCUUCGAACUUUGAACGCAACACUUCGACUGGGUCACCUACUUUGUAGAAGUCGCCAACCGAACUUUUUAUUGUAAAUUCUGCAUAGGCAAGGAGCUGCGCAAACGAAGCCAUGGCUGGCUGAUUUGGUCGAGUCCAAUGAAGGUGCUUGGAACGUUCUGCCUGUUCAAUGUCUUUCUUGGCAAACGCAAGGAACGUCGUCACAAACACCAACAGUUGGUCCAGCAUCUAAGACUUUUGUUGACUGAUCCCAAUCAACUACCCGAAGCAUGCCGUGAAGUCCUAGACUAUUUGAUGAGACGAUUGAGUGCUCAGAAAACUCUCGCCCGUCACCAAGCCCUCACGGCAUUGAGUGUGGUCUUGGCAGUAAAAGACGAUGAUAUUACCAUGAGUGAUGGUGCAUGCUCCGAAGGAACAGGAGACGAUUCCCAGUUCUCUUGGCUUGUUCAUCAGUUACCUACCAUCCCACAUUUCGAAGCCGUACGCCCUGCCGUGAUUGCUGCUCUACGGGCCGCCUUUCUAAUUGAAACACAACCACUAGCCAUGUGUAUGCGUCAUCGUAAACAUCCGAUUCCGAUAUUUCCUUAUUUUUCAUAAUUUUUCCGUGCUUUCCCCUUUUUUCCUCAUUUUUAUCCAAAAUUUUCCAAUAUUUCCUAAUUUUCUUGGAGCAGGACGCAAGUCCUGACUAGUGACGUUUUUUUUAAUACAUAGCCAUCUAGCGCUCA
This is an RNA transcript of Daphnia pulicaria, 1747 nucleotides long. It is a transcript of the gene named integrator complex subunit 1-like, with no coding region annotated. The transcript is spliced from 8 exons. The record is from RefSeq and is a predicted model, not a curated record. NCBI's taxonomy places the organism in Eukaryota, Metazoa, Arthropoda, Branchiopoda, Diplostraca, Daphniidae.